Molecule: non-coding RNA, 22 nt
Filed under: Arabidopsis thaliana (thale cress)
Lineage: Eukaryota; Viridiplantae; Streptophyta; Magnoliopsida; Brassicales; Brassicaceae
Source: RNAcentral
UAAUAAGUAUCCAGGGUAUUCC